GAUGAACGCUGGCGGCGUGCCUAAUACAUGCAAGUCGAGCGAACAGACGAGGAGCUUGCUCCUCUGACGUUAGCGGCGGACGGGUGAGUAACACGUGGAUAACCUACCUAUAAGACUGGGAUAACUUCGGGAAACCGGAGCUAAUACCGUAUAAUAUAUUGAACCGCAUGGUUCAAUAGUGAAAUACGGUUUUUCUGUCACUUAUAGAUGGAUCCGCGCCGCAUUAGCUAGUUGGUAAGGUAACGGCUUACCAAGGCAACGAUGCGUAGCCGACCUGAGAGGGUGAUCGGCCACACUGGAACUGAGACACGGUCCAGACUCCUACGGGAGGCAGCAGUAGGGAAUCUUCCGCAAUGGGCGAAAGCCUGACGGAGCAACGCCGCGUGAGUGAUGAAGGUCUUCGGAUCGUAAAACUCUGUUAUGAGGGAAGAACAAAUGUGUAAGUAACUAUGCACGUCUUGACGGUACCUAAUCAGAAAGCCACGGCUAACUACGUG
Molecule: ribosomal RNA, 497 nt
Filed under: uncultured bacterium
Lineage: Bacteria
Description: partial 16S ribosomal RNA
Rfam family: Bacterial small subunit ribosomal RNA
Source: RNAcentral